This 428-nucleotide ribosomal RNA is filed under the name uncultured bacterium. RNAcentral's name for it is "partial 16S ribosomal RNA". It matches the Rfam family "Bacterial small subunit ribosomal RNA", at positions 354 to 796 of the family's 1533-position model. The record is from RNAcentral.
GUAGGGAAUAUUGCGCAAUGGACGAAAGUCUGACGCAGCGACGCCGCGUGAGUGAUGAAGGCCUUAGGGUCGUAAAGCUCUGUUGAAUGGGAAGAAAAAAAUGACGGUACCAUUCGAGGAAGGACCGGCUAACUUCGUGCCAGCAGCCGCGGUAAUACGAGGGGUCCUAGCGUUGUUCGGAAUCAUUGGGCGUAAAGGGUGUGUAGGUGGCCAUGUAAGUCAGGUGUGAAAGCCCCGGGCUCAACCCGGGAAGUGCACUGGAUACUGCGUGGCUUGAGUACCGAAGAGGGUAGUGGAAUUCCAGGUGUAGUGGUGAAAUACGUAGAUAUCUGGAGGAACACCGGUGGCGAAGGCGGCUACCUGGUCGAGUACUGACACUGAGACACGAAAGCAUGGGGAUCAAACAGGAUUAGAAACCCCGGUAGUCC